Molecule: long non-coding RNA, 420 nt
Filed under: Homo sapiens (human)
Lineage: Eukaryota; Metazoa; Chordata; Mammalia; Primates; Hominidae
Description: HSALNT0352426
Source: RNAcentral
GUUAAACAACAGUGGUGACAGGGGGCAUCCUUAUCAUGUUCCAGAUCUUAGAGGAAAAGCUUUCCAUUUUUCCCCAUUCCAUAUGAUUCUAGCUGUGGGUGUCUUUCCUGUAGUUUUUAUUAUGUUGCGUGAAAGAAGAUUGCCACGGAGACAGAGAGCAGCAUGGUCAGUGUGGUAGGAGCCGGCCAUCAGCGAGAGCUGCUCCAUGCCUGGCUGCUGGGAGCUAGAGCCUGCGGCCCACUGGCUUGCCUCACUGUAGUUGGUGGUGGCAGUGACAGAGACUGCAGCAUGACCAGAGUGGCUUUUCUGGCUUUGCCCGCCCAGCUGCUCCAUGCCAGGAGGAGGAGGAGACACCUAGAGCCUGCAACACCACGGCUCACCUCGCUGCGGGUGGGUGGCAGUGACGGAGACUGCAGUGCG